GGAGGAACCAUGGCUCACUGGAAGAGCUACUACUUGUCAUGCAGAAGUUCCCAGGUUCAAUCCCCAGUGUCUCCA
RNAcentral lists this transfer RNA (75 nucleotides) under Sphaerodactylus townsendi. RNAcentral's name for it is "tRNA-Asp". It matches the Rfam family "tRNA". Rfam says of the family: Transfer RNA (tRNA) molecules are approximately 80 nucleotides in length. Their secondary structure includes four short double-helical elements and three loops (D, anti-codon, and T loops). The record is from RNAcentral. Lineage: Eukaryota; Metazoa; Chordata; Lepidosauria; Squamata; Sphaerodactylidae.